GAAGAGAUGAAAGAAGAGGUGGCAGCAACUAGGUUUUGUGAGAGUAAAAAUAUCAAGUAUGAUUUGAACAGUUAAGAUUAUCUGAAAUAAACAGCUAGAAUUAGUCAAAAUUGUAAAAAAAGACAGAUUAACAAAUGUGCCUGCAAGUCCUUGUUAUAACAUUUCAACUACUAGGUGACAAAAUGUGUUGGUGGUGGGCAUCGAACUUAGGACCUGCAAGUCCUUGUUAUAACCUACCAACCAUUAGGCUAUAAAAAGUCUAGAUGUUAUACGGAUUUGUCACUUUAAUUUAUUUCGGUUCAGUUUUUCCGAAAAUUUUUCUUAAAAAAC
Molecule: unclassified non-coding RNA, 330 nt
Filed under: Hevea brasiliensis (rubber tree)
Lineage: Eukaryota; Viridiplantae; Streptophyta; Magnoliopsida; Malpighiales; Euphorbiaceae
Source: RNAcentral